UAACGUGAGCUCCCCUGUCUCUUCUAUGAACAUAUAACUUAACCUCUAGGUGAAAAGGCCUAGAUACUACUAAUAGACAAGAAGACCCUAUCGAGCUUUAUUGCUAAGUCUCUCUAUAAACUGUUCCAUCAACUUUAUACAGAACCUAAGCCAUUUUGUUGGGGCAACAAAGGAACACCAAAACCUUCCUCUCAAAACUAAAACAUACCAAGACCCAGCAACGCUGAUCAAAGAAAAAAGCUACCGUAGGGAUAACAGGUUAAUUUUUCUCGAGAGCCCACAUCAACAGAAAAGUUUGGCACCUC
RNAcentral lists this ribosomal RNA (305 nucleotides) under Amphinome rostrata. RNAcentral's name for it is "partial 16S ribosomal RNA". It matches the Rfam family "Bacterial large subunit ribosomal RNA", at positions 2002 to 2527 of the family's 2925-position model. The record is from RNAcentral. Lineage: Eukaryota; Metazoa; Annelida; Polychaeta; Eunicida; Amphinomidae.